Molecule: microRNA precursor, 190 nt
Filed under: Setaria italica (foxtail millet)
Lineage: Eukaryota; Viridiplantae; Streptophyta; Magnoliopsida; Poales; Poaceae
Description: MIR1435 microRNA precursor family
Rfam family: MIR1435 microRNA precursor family
Source: Rfam by way of RNAcentral
UAGAUUUCUCCUAAGUCAAAUAUGUCCAACUUUGACUAAGUUUAUUGAAAAAUACAACAACAAUUAUAAUACCAAACAUAUGCACUAUCAGAAUAUAUUCCAUUGUGGAUUUAAUGAAAUAAGUUUGGUAUUGUAGAUGUUGUUGGAUUUUUCAUCAAAGUGGCACAAGUUUGACUUAGGAUAAACCUAA